This 468-nucleotide ribosomal RNA is filed under the name uncultured bacterium. RNAcentral describes it as "partial 16S ribosomal RNA". It matches the Rfam family "Bacterial small subunit ribosomal RNA", at positions 28 to 507 of the family's 1533-position model. The record is from RNAcentral.
GACGAACGCUGGCGGCGUGCUUAACACAUGCAAGUCGAACGGAAAGGCCCUGCUUUUGUGGGGUGCUCGAGUGGCGAACGGGUGAGUAACACGUGAGUAACCUGCCCUUGACUUUGGGAUAACUUCAGGAAACUGGGGCUAAUACCGGAUAGGAGCUCCUGCUGCAUGGUGGUGGUUGGAAAGUUUCGGCGGUUGGGGAUGGACUCGCGGCUUAUCAGCUUGUUGGUGGGGUAGUGGCUUACCAAGGCUUUGACGGGUAGCCGGCCUGAGAGGGUGACCGGCCACAUUGGGACUGAGAUACGGCCCAGACUCCUACGGGAGGCAGCAGUGGGGAAUAUUGCACAAUGGGCGCAAGCCUGAUGCAGCAACGCCGCGUGCGGGAUGACGGCCUUCGGGUUGUAAACCGCUUUCGCCUGUGACGAAGCGUGAGUGACGGUAAUGGGUAAAGAAGCACCGGCUAACUACGUG